GCGCUACGGGCAGCUAUACAUGCAGUCGAGCGAACAGAUGAGAAGCUUGCUUCUCUGAUGUUAGCGGCGGACGGGUGAGUAACACGUGGGUAACCUACCUAUAAGACUGGGAUAACUCCGGGAAACCGGGGCUAAUACCGGAUAAUAUUUUGAACCGCAUGGUUCAAUAGUGAAAGACGGUUUCGGCUGUCACUUAUAGAUGGACCCGCGCCGUAUUAGCUAGUUGGUAAGGUAACGGCUUACCAAGGCGACGAUACGUAGCCGACCUGAGAGGGUGAUCGGCCACACUGGAACUGAGACACGGUCCAGACUCCUACGGGAGGCAGCAGUAGGGAAUCUUCCGCAAUGGGCGAAAGCCUGACGGAGCAACGCCGCGUGAGUGAUGAAGGUCUUCGGAUCGUAAAACUCUGUUGUUAGGGAAGAACAAAUUUGUUAGUAACUGAACAAGUCUUGACGGUACCUAACCAGAAAGCCACGGCUAACUACGUGCCAGCAGCCGCGGUAAUACGUAGGUGGCAAGCGUUAUCCGGAAUUAUUGGGCGUAAAGCGCGCGUAGGCGGUUUCUUAAGUCUGAUGUGAAAGCCCACGGCUCAACCGUGGAGGGUCAUUGGAAACUGGGAAACUUGAGUGCAGAAGAGGAGAGUGGAAUUCCAUGUGUAGCGGUGAAAUGCGGCAGAGAUAUGGAGGAACACCAGUGGCGAAGGCGGCUCUCUGGUCUGUAACUGACGCUGAUGNGCGAAAGCUUGGGGAUCAAACUGGAU
Molecule: ribosomal RNA, 761 nt
Filed under: Staphylococcus sp.
Lineage: Bacteria; Bacillati; Bacillota; Bacilli; Caryophanales; Staphylococcaceae
Description: bacterial SSU rRNA
Rfam family: Bacterial small subunit ribosomal RNA
Source: RNAcentral